RNAcentral lists this microRNA precursor (126 nucleotides) under Mus spretus (western wild mouse). RNAcentral describes it as "predicted gene, 56410 (ENSMSPG00010037459.1)". Lineage: Eukaryota; Metazoa; Chordata; Mammalia; Rodentia; Muridae. The record is from RNAcentral.
GUUUCUCUGUAUAGCCCUGGCUGUCCUGGAACUCACUCUGUAGACCAGGCUGGCCUUGAACUCAGAAAUUCGCCUGCCUCUGCCUCCCAAGUGCUGGGACUAAAGGCAUGCACCACCAACUGCCCG